This 623-nucleotide small RNA is filed under the name Pan troglodytes (chimpanzee). RNAcentral's name for it is "processed transcript". Lineage: Eukaryota; Metazoa; Chordata; Mammalia; Primates; Hominidae. The record is from RNAcentral.
ACUUAUGGAGAACAGGCCAAAACCCAAAUAAGAAAACAAACCACAGAUGACAUCCUUGUGGCCUCAGCAGAGUGUCCCAGCGAUGAUGAGGACAUUGACCCCUGUGAGCCGAGCUCAGGUGGGUUAGCCAACCCAACCCGAGCAGGCGGCAGAGAGCCGUAUCCAGGAUCAGCAGAAGUGAUCCGGGAGUCCAGCAGCACCACGGGUAUGGUCGUUGGGAUAGUAGCCGCUGCCGCCCUGUGCAUCCUUAUCCUCCUCUAUGCCAUGUACAAGUACAGAAACCGGGAUGAAGGCUCAUACCAUGUGGACGAGAGUCGAAACUACAUCAGUAACUCAGCACAGUCCAAUGGGGCUGUUGUAAAGGAGAAACAACCCAGCAGUGCGAAAAGCUCCAACAAAAAUAAGAAAAACAAGGAUAAAGAGUAUUAUGUCUGAUCCCAAGAUCUUAAAUGGACACUUGUAUAGAAAUAGUCUUCAUUUUAUCUGAGACAUAAUAUAAACUUACUUACUUUCCUUUUUAUGAAGCACAUACAAAAGAAGACAGGGAAUGCAAUCAGGAAGGAAAGACUUUUUAAAAAAUAAAAACAAGUAUCUCAUGCUCUUGUUUCUCAAAAAAGAAAAAC